Molecule: ribosomal RNA, 165 nt
Rfam family: Bacterial large subunit ribosomal RNA
GGAUAAACGCUGAAAGCAUCUAAGCGUGAAGCCGGCUCCAAGAUAAGAUAUCCCAUAGCGAAAGCUAGUAAGGCCCCUUGAAGACUACAAGGUUGAUAGGCUGCGUGUGUAAGUGUGGCAACACAUUGAGCUUGGCAGUACUAAUAGGCCGAGGGCUUGACCAUA